GAUUUUCCACCCCUUUAAGCCUAAAUUGAAUCAAUUAUAGUGUGCUACCUUCACUUUGGAAGUUCUUUUCUUGAAUUGAAUCUCUAAAUUUGCAUUGGUCAAGGGAAAUAAAAAUAUAAAUACAUGCAAAUAAAAAGUUAGUGUAACUCCCUAUGAGGUGAUUUGCCCAAACUGUCAUGAAAAGAAAAGAAAAAGAAAAACCAGCACAAAGCACAAAUCAUAAAACCUGUUCCUAUGGCCAAAUAAGCUAUGAACAGAGCUAGUAGCCACUUGAACAAGUGACUAACUGAGUAACCGGGGGUGGGUAUCACCAAUAUGCACCUUCGCAUAAAAAGGUUAGUGACUUUUUCAGGCAAGAAUAAAAAAAAAGUGCUGCUGAAUAAAAUAAAAUAAAAUGCUCAAAGAAGGGCAAGUCAGUCUUAGAGGUUGCAUUGAGCUUAUACAAAGAGAAUAAGCAUGAAUGAAUCAAAAACCUUUCCUUUGACCAUGAUAGGUAAGGGGAAACAAGGAAAAGAGAAGAACAACCUUGGUGCAUGUAUUCUAUACUGUGAUACUUCAAUUUAGGAGUCUAGGGGGGGCUGAUUAAGUGGUACUUAGG
This 598-nucleotide long non-coding RNA is filed under the name Manihot esculenta (cassava). Its description in RNAcentral is "long non-coding RNA (MESC_LNC012404)". Lineage: Eukaryota; Viridiplantae; Streptophyta; Magnoliopsida; Malpighiales; Euphorbiaceae. The record is from RNAcentral.